CCUACGGGCGGCAGCAGUGAGGAAUAUUGGUCAAUGGACGAGAGUCUGAACCAGCCAAGUAGCGUGAAGGAUGACUGCCCUAUGGGUUGUAAACUUCUUUUAUAUGGGAAUAAAACGUUCCACGUGUGGGCUUUUGUAUGUACCAUAUGAAUAAGGAUCGGCUAACUCCGUGCCAGCAGCCGCGGUAAUACGGAGGAUCCGAGCGUUAUCCGGAUUUAUUGGGUUUAAAGGGAGCGUAGGUGGAUUGUUAAGUCAGUUGUGAAAGUUUGCGGCGCAACCGUAAAAUUGCAGUUGAAACUGGCAGUCUUGAGUACAGUAGAGGUGGGCGGAAUUCGUGGUGUAGCGGUGAAAUGCUUAGAUAUCACGAAGAACUCCGAUUGCGAAGGCAGCUCACUGGACUGCAACUGACACUGAGGCUCAAAAGUGUGGGUAUCAAACAGGAUUAGAUACCCGGGUAGUC
Molecule: ribosomal RNA, 460 nt
Filed under: uncultured bacterium
Lineage: Bacteria
Description: partial 16S ribosomal RNA
Rfam family: Bacterial small subunit ribosomal RNA
Source: RNAcentral